Non-coding RNA from Helianthus annuus (common sunflower), 107 nucleotides. The record is from Rfam. Lineage: Eukaryota; Viridiplantae; Streptophyta; Magnoliopsida; Asterales; Asteraceae.
AGACCAUGAUGAGGGCAUUUUCUCAAUAGCUCCUUGAAUCUUUCCCAAGUUUCGUAUAAAGAUUCCCCGUCCUCUUUUGAAUAUGUAUCUAUUUCGGUUAUUAAUUU